GCAAUGCUCCUCCCGCGCAGCUCUUAUCCCCGUAGACUGCGGCCGAGACGGGGAGGGGGAAGCCUCGCCUGGGGGGCGGCAGUGGCCUGGGCGGCUCUCCGGCUGCUGUUGUAUGGCUGCACGUUGGCGCUACCGGACGGGAUGCUGUAUCCCCGAGAGAGCCCGUCGUGGCAGCGCAAGCAGCUGGACGGCCUCUGAAGCUUCCGCGCCGACUUCUCCGACAACCGACGCCGGGGCUUCGAGGAGCAGAGUCAGGCCCCACCGUGGACAUGCCGGUUCCCUCCAGCUUCAACGACAUCGGCCAGGGCUGGCGGCUGCGGCAUUUUGUCAGCUGGUUGUGGUAUGAACGGGAGGUGACCCUGCUGGAGCGAUGGAUCCAGGACCUGUGCACAAGAGUGGUGCUGAGGAUUGGCAGUGCCCACUUCUAUGCCAUCGUGGACUGCUGUGGUCUCUGCUUCUAUACACGACACCCCCCACCUACAUCGAUGACGUCACCGUCACCACCGGCGUGAAGCGAGACAGUGGUGAGGGCUUCUGGACUGGAUGGAGGACCUGAAGACGUGAGGUGGAGGCACAGGUAGAAGAGAAGAUUCUCACCAUCGCUGAUUCACACAAAAGC
This 619-nucleotide long non-coding RNA is filed under the name Homo sapiens (human). RNAcentral's name for it is "non-protein coding lnc-IGLL1-1:3". Lineage: Eukaryota; Metazoa; Chordata; Mammalia; Primates; Hominidae. The record is from RNAcentral.